Molecule: ribosomal RNA, 253 nt
Filed under: uncultured bacterium
Lineage: Bacteria
Description: partial 16S ribosomal RNA
Rfam family: Bacterial small subunit ribosomal RNA
Source: RNAcentral
AACGUAGGUGGCAAGCGUUAUCCGGAUUUACUGGGCGUAAAGCGUGUGCAGGCGGGGGUACCAGUGGGGUAUGAAAUUUCCCAGCUUAACUGGGAAGGGUUAUGCCAGACUGUACUUCUGGAGUGCGAGAGAGGGGCGUGGAAUUCCGGGUGUAGUGGUGAAAUGCGUAGAGAUCCGGAAGAACACCGGAGGCGAAGGCGGCUUGCUGGGCGUGAUCUGACGCUGAGGCGCGAAAGCGUGGGGAGCGAACAGG